This 437-nucleotide ribosomal RNA is filed under the name Oragua bella. RNAcentral's name for it is "partial large subunit ribosomal RNA". Lineage: Eukaryota; Metazoa; Arthropoda; Insecta; Hemiptera; Cicadellidae. The record is from RNAcentral.
UUCUGCCCUAUGAUUAUUUUAAUGGCUGCAGUAUACUGACUGUGCAAAGGUAGCAUAAUAAUUAGUCAUUUAAUUGGUGACUUGUAUGAAUGAAUUAAUGUGAAAUUUUUUUUAUUAUUUAUAUUAUUAUAAUUUAAUUUUUAAGUAAGAAAGCUUAAGUUUUUUUUUGGGACGAUAAGACCCUAUAGAACUUUAAAUUUUUUUAUUUAUAUUAUUUUGGUUAUUAAGAUUAAUUUAAAUUAUUAUAUUUUUUUUAUUGGGGUGAUAAAUAAAUUUUACUUUAUUUUUUUAUAUCAUUAAUUAAUGUUUAUUUGAUCCAAAUUUUUGAUUAUAAGAUUUAGUUACCUUAGGGAUAACAGCGUAAUUUCAAUGAGGAGUUCAUAUCUAUAUUGAAGUUUGCGACCUCGAUGUUGAAUUAAGAUAAGAUUAUGGGGUAG